AGAGAGAGACAUGCGCGCAUAUCAAUAAGCGGAGGAAAAGAAACUAACUAGGAUUCCCUUAGUAACGGCGAGUGAAGCGGGAAGAGCUCAAAUUUGAAAUCUUCAAGGUUCUACCUUGACGAAUUGUAGUUUAAAGAAGUGUUUUCUGUUAGGAAUUAGGUAAAAGUUCUUUGGAAAUAGGACAUCAAUAGAGGGUGAGAAUCCCGUAUUUGACUAUUCUUUCUAGCUUUGUGAUACACUUUCAAAGAGUCGGAUUGUUUGGGAAUGCAGUCCAAAAUGGGUGGUAAAUUUCAUCUAAAGCUAAAUACUGGCGAGAGACCGAUAGCGAACAAGUACCGUGAGGGAAAGAUGAAAAGAACUUUGAAAAGAGAGUUAAACAGUACGUGAAAUUGUCAAAAGGGAAGCGUUUGACACCAGUGUUGUUUUCUCGAAAAUCAAUUAAAAAUGCUGGAUUUUGUGUUGUAUUGACUUUAUCAGCUUUCUGCACUCUUUUCCUGUCUUUUUUAAUGCACUUUUCGUUUAACAAGUCAACAUCAAUUUCUUUUGUUGUAAAGGGUCAUUGGAAGGUGGCUUUCUUUUCGGAGAAAGUGUUUAUAGCCUUUGGCCUCUGCAAUCGGAGAGAUUGAGGUCUGCAGCGUAGAUCCUUCGGGGUUAGAUACAUUUGUGCUAAGUUAUAGCCUUUCAUAGACAACUUGUUGACUAUGAUCAGUCAUGUAGCUUACUCGCUUAUGUCUAUUUUACCUACGCUUAGGAUGUUGACAGCAGUAUAGACUGU
This 775-nucleotide ribosomal RNA is filed under the name uncultured Neocallimastigales. RNAcentral's name for it is "partial large subunit ribosomal RNA". It matches the Rfam family "Eukaryotic large subunit ribosomal RNA", at positions 23 to 633 of the family's 3401-position model. Lineage: Eukaryota; Fungi; Neocallimastigomycota; Neocallimastigomycetes; Neocallimastigales. The record is from RNAcentral.